RNAcentral lists this ribosomal RNA (253 nucleotides) under uncultured bacterium. RNAcentral describes it as "partial 16S ribosomal RNA". It matches the Rfam family "Bacterial small subunit ribosomal RNA", at positions 524 to 776 of the family's 1533-position model. The record is from RNAcentral.
GACGAACCGUCCAAACGUUAUUCGGAAUCACUGGGCUUAAAGGGUGCGUAGGCGGAGAGGCAAGUCAGAGGUGAAAGCCCACGGCUCAACCGUGGAAGUGCCCCUGAAACGGCCUCUCUCGAGGGAGAUAGGGGCGUGCGGAACUCAGAGUGGAGCGGUGAAAUGCGUAGAUAUUCUGAGGAACACCGGUGGCGUAAGCGGCACGCUGGGUCUUUUAUGACGAUGAGGCGAGAAAGCUAGGGGAGCAAACGGG